GAUGAAGAACGCAGCGAAAUGAGAUAAGUAAUGUGAAUUGCAGAAUUCAGUGAAUCAUCGAAUCUUUGAACGCACAUUGCGCCCUUUGGCAUUCCGAAGGGCACACCUGUCCGAGCGCCGUCGCACAACUGAGGCGCAGCCUUGCGUUGGCGGGCGACUUGUGAGUAGCGAGUCGCCGCCCAAACGAGACGGCGCCGCGCCGCGGCCGACGAAGCACGAAAGCGGAAGUCGACGCGGAGGCGGUUGCCUGUAGGAAGACACAGCUUGGCCUCGGAUCAGGUGGGGAUACCCGCUGAACUUAAGCAUAUCAAUAAGCGGAGGA
This 322-nucleotide unclassified non-coding RNA is filed under the name soil metagenome. Its description in RNAcentral is "partial contains 5.8S ribosomal RNA, internal transcribed spacer 2, and large subunit ribosomal RNA". The stretch from base 1 to 120 matches the Rfam family "5.8S ribosomal RNA", at positions 35 to 154 of the family's 154-position model. The record is from RNAcentral.